Molecule: long non-coding RNA, 1652 nt
Organism: Lycium ferocissimum
Lineage: Eukaryota; Viridiplantae; Streptophyta; Magnoliopsida; Solanales; Solanaceae
Exons: 5
Source: RefSeq, a predicted model, not a curated record
UGAAGCAUGUUCUUAUGUUUACUUGGAGUGAGUUGGGUCAUGCCAAAGACCACUUUUGAACUUUUGAACAGCUAGAAAGGAAUUGGAAAAAGAAGAUCUAAGGAGAACUGGUGGGAGAAUAUACCAGCAUGCAUAGACACUAUGGAAAUAAAGGAAUGCAAGAUGUUUUCAUGAUAAUGGCAGCAGCACUCAAAAGAUCAAGAUGAAGUGCCUUAGUUUACUUUAUUUUUAGUGUAAACAGGAUAUGGUGGGGGAAGUAGAAUCCUUAGUUGUUUUAUAGGAUAUCUUCUAAAGUCUAGUUUUUUUGCUGUUUCAGGGUAGUUUCAGCCUACCAAGGGAUGUAAGAUUAUACCUCAUCACCAUAUGAUGAGUUUUUUGUGUGAAUACAAAGUUACCUUUUACUCAAAAAAAUGAUGAUAAGUGAGAGUGAGCCUCUGAGCUUUUUGCCGGAGAGUGUAAAAGAGAGAUGAGAGUCCGUGAUCCGAGGUCUUUAUCGGAGUGUAAUAUGUGCUCGUGAUUCGAGAUCAUUUACCGGAGCGAGAGAGUGCUCGUGUUCGAGGUAAUUUGUCAGAACGAGGGGUACAUGAACUUCGCGGAUCCCCCGCGGGUCAUGGCUACGAGGCAUUGCACUUAGCAUGUGUGUACGGUACGGAGAGGAGACGUGGGGGCAUUGCAUAGCACUUGCAUUGCACCCCAUUUGUAUUGUACUUCAUAUCAUUGUAUCGCACAUAUCUCAUUGGAUUCUUGUUGGGGAUUUACUUGAAUUGUUGCCUGUUUGCUAAGUGAUUAGUUAGAGACUUGGCGGACUUGUGGAUAGAAGCUUUAACCUAGGCUAUGACCGGAGAAUAUUGAGACUUAUUGUGCUAUUGUUGUUGUGAAACGUUAUCCGAACAUGUUUACUGACUGUACUUGAUUGCUUAUCUGUUCUACUCGUUGAUUUCUGCUCAUUCAUAUGCAUUAUCUAAUCGUUGUCGGCCUAUGAUACCUACGAGCCUUGUGUUGUGCUCAUACUACUCUUGCUACACCCUUUAUGGACUGUAGAGUUGUUUCCAGGUUGGUGGGCGAGAUCUCGUGAUAGAUCCCGAGGAUAUCAUAGAGAUGUUUGGAAAUGCAGGGUAAGACUGCAUGCAAUGCAUCCUUGUGGUUGGGCCCUUCCCUGGAUCCCGCGCAUUGCGGAAGCUUAGUGCAUCGGGCUGCCCCUCUUUAUGAGUGUUGUGUGGCUAUAACAAGUUCUCAUUAAGCCACUGAAUGGUUGAGAGGGAAGCAAAUGGAGGAAGUACUAUCCAUAAAGAAUACGGAGAUAGCAAAACAUCUAUCUCUUCCACCUGUUAAACUGCAUUGCAGUAUGCUCCCGGAGGAUGCAAUAAAGGCUGCUGUGAAAGAUUACAAGUCAAAGCAGACAAAAUUGAGUGAUGAUGCAAAUGAAAUGGAGAAAGCAGCUGAUGCUUGAGAUACUUGUAGCAAGAAAUGAAGUGCUUCCGAGAAAUGAAAUUGAGGAGGAAGAACAAGAAUGCUUGUAUAUGUAACGUUCUUUCGGUAUUGUAACUGUAAAGUUGGCCAUUUGAUGCGUUUAUCUUGAAAUUUCUGCUGCUUGGAUGAAUCUAUGACCUCACUUUUUCCUGCCGGAGCAGUUGGAUCACUUUAUUAGACCA